CCUACGGGUGGCAGCAGUGGGGAAUAUUGGACAAUGGGGGGAACCCUGAUCCAGCCAUGCCGCGUGUGUGAAGAAGGCCCUCGGGUUGUAAAGCACUUUCAGUGAGGAAGAACGCCUGGUGGUUAAUACCCAUCAGGAAAGACAUCACUCACAGAAGAAGCACCGGCUAACUCCGUGCCAGCAGCCGCGGUAAUACGGAGGGUGCGAGCGUUAAUCGGAAUUACUGGGCGUGAAGCGCGCGUAGGUGGCUUGAUAAGCCGGUUGUGAAAGCCCCGGGCUCAACCUGGGAACGGCAUCCGGAACUGUCAAGCUAGAGUGCAGGAGAGGAAGGUAGAAUUCCCGGUGUAGCGGUGAAAUGCGUAGAGAUCGGGAGGAAUACCAGUGGCGAAGGCGGCCUUCUGGACUGACACUGACACUGAGGUGCGAAAGCGUGGGUAGCAAACAGGAUUAGAUACCCCGGUAGUC
RNAcentral lists this ribosomal RNA (465 nucleotides) under Vreelandella stevensii. RNAcentral's name for it is "partial 16S ribosomal RNA". It matches the Rfam family "Bacterial small subunit ribosomal RNA", at positions 338 to 795 of the family's 1533-position model. Lineage: Bacteria; Pseudomonadati; Pseudomonadota; Gammaproteobacteria; Oceanospirillales; Halomonadaceae. The record is from RNAcentral.